RNAcentral lists this ribosomal RNA (400 nucleotides) under phytoplankton environmental sample. RNAcentral's name for it is "partial small subunit ribosomal RNA". It matches the Rfam family "Eukaryotic small subunit ribosomal RNA", at positions 587 to 991 of the family's 1831-position model. The record is from RNAcentral.
AGCUCCAAUAGCGUAUAUUAAAGUUGUUGCAGUUAAAAAGCUCGUAGUUGGAUCUCGGGUCCAGGCCUGCGGUUCCUUUAACCAGGACACUGCUUGCCCUGACCUACCUGCCGGCUCUCCCUUGGUGCUCUUAACUGAGUGUCUCGGGUGGCCGGAACGUUUACUUUGAAAAAAUUAGAGUGUUCAAGGCAGGCUUUGAGGCUUGAAUACAUGAGCAUGGAAUAAUGGAAUAGGACCUCGGUCCCUAUUUCGUUGGUUUUACGGACCGAAGUAAUGAUUAAGAGGGACAAUUGGGGGCAUCCGUAUUUCGUAGUCAGAGGUGAAAUUCUUGGACCUACGAAAGACGAACAACUGCGAAAGCAUUUGCCAAGAGUGUUUUCAUUAAUCAAGAACGAAAGUA